This 107-nucleotide small RNA is filed under the name Marmota monax (woodchuck). Lineage: Eukaryota; Metazoa; Chordata; Mammalia; Rodentia; Sciuridae. The record is from RNAcentral.
GCUGGGUGCAGUGGUGCACUUCUGUAAUCCUGGCAGCUGGGGAGGCUGAGUCAGGAGGAUUGCAAGUUCAAAGCCAGCCUCAGCAACUUAGCAAGAUCCUGUCUCAA